GACGAACCGUGCGAACGUUAUUCGGAAUCACUGGGCUUAAAGCGCGUGUAGGCGGAUGGGAACGUCGGAAUCUGAAAGCCCCCGGCUCAACCGGGAAGUGGAGCCGAAACGACCUGUCUGGAGGGGCGUAGGGGGACCUGGAACUUCCGGUGGAGCGGUGAAAUGCGUUGAGAUCGGAAGGAACGCCCGUGGCGAAAGCGAGGUCCUGGACGUCUUCUGACGCUGAGACGCGAAAGCUAGGGGAGCAAACGGG
RNAcentral lists this ribosomal RNA (253 nucleotides) under uncultured bacterium. RNAcentral describes it as "partial 16S ribosomal RNA". It matches the Rfam family "Bacterial small subunit ribosomal RNA", at positions 524 to 776 of the family's 1533-position model. The record is from RNAcentral.